Molecule: ribosomal RNA, 460 nt
Filed under: uncultured bacterium
Lineage: Bacteria
Description: partial 16S ribosomal RNA
Rfam family: Bacterial small subunit ribosomal RNA
Source: RNAcentral
CCUACGGGAGGCAGCAGUGAGGAAUAUUGGUCAAUGGACGCAAGUCUGAACCAGCCAUGCCGCGUGCAGGAAGACGGCCCUAUGAGUUGUAAACUGCUUUUGUACGAGGGUAAACGCAGAUACGCGUAUCUGUCUGAAAGUAUCGUACGAAUAAGGAUCGGCUAAAUCCGUGCCAGCAGCCGCGGGAAUACGGAGGAUUCAAGCGUUAUCCGGAUUUAUUGGGUUUAAAGGGUGCGUAGGCGGUCGGAUAAGUUAGAGGUGAAAGCCCGAGGCUCAACUUCGGAAUUGCCUCUGAUACUGUUCGGCGUGAGAGUAGUUGCGGUAGGCGGAAUGUAUGGUGUAGCGGUGAAAUGCUUAGAGAUCAUACAGAACACCGAUUGCGAAGGCAGCUUACCAAGCUACUUCUGACGUUGAGGCACGAAAGCGUGGGGAGCAAACAGGAUUAGAUACCCGUGUAGUC